AGAAUUUUAACAAUGAAUAUCUUGGUUUGCAUAUCGAUGAAGGACGCAGCAAAGUGUGAUAAUCAAUGCGAAUCGCAGAAUUCAGUGAGUCAUUUGAUUUCUGAACGCAAAUUGUGUUGCUAUAUUUUUAUAGUAACUUGUUUGUUUCAAAAUCUUA
Molecule: ribosomal RNA, 157 nt
Filed under: Hepatozoon canis
Lineage: Eukaryota; Apicomplexa; Hepatozoidae
Description: 5.8S ribosomal RNA
Rfam family: 5.8S ribosomal RNA
About the family: 5.8S ribosomal RNA (5.8S rRNA) is a component of the large subunit of the eukaryotic ribosome. It is transcribed by RNA polymerase I as part of the 45S precursor that also contains 18S and 28S rRNA. Functionally, it is thought that 5.8S rRNA may be involved in ribosome translocation.
Source: RNAcentral